GGGGAGGGGCGCGUGAACACGGAGGUGGUUGUAUUAUAUUUGUGUACAUUAUCAAUUGUCGCGCAAUUUAAGUUGUAAAUAAGGCCGCAGAUAUUAAUUUAGGAAAAAUACCCGCCGUCGUCAUAAAUAUCGCUCGGGGACUAAUCAAAUUCCGUUUACGCUUCUUUGCGCGCUUUCGGAACGACGACGACGUUCGCCCGCGUGCCAUUAUU
This is a non-coding RNA of Cinara cedri, 212 nucleotides long. The record is from the annotation of a GenBank genome assembly. NCBI's taxonomy places the organism in Eukaryota, Metazoa, Arthropoda, Insecta, Hemiptera, Aphididae.